UACGGGGGGGGCGAGCGUUGUUCGGAAUCACUGGGCGUAAAGGGCGCGUAGGCGGCCCGCACAAGUCUGCGGUGAAAACCUCCGGCUUAACCGGGGGCCGGCCGUGGAAACUGUCGGGCUGGAGGCUGGGAGAGGGCAGCGGAAUUCCCGGUGUAGCGGUGAAAUGCGUAGAUAUCAAGAGGAACACCUGAGGUGAAGACGGGUUGCUGGGCUGACACUGACGCUGAGACGCGAAAGCGUGGGGAGCGAACAGG
This 254-nucleotide ribosomal RNA is filed under the name uncultured bacterium. RNAcentral describes it as "partial 16S ribosomal RNA". It matches the Rfam family "Bacterial small subunit ribosomal RNA", at positions 524 to 776 of the family's 1533-position model. The record is from RNAcentral.